GACGAACGCUAGCGGCAGGCUUAACACAUGCAAGUCGAGGGGUAUAGUUCUUCGGAGCUAGAGACCGGCGCACGGGUGCGUAACGCGUAUGCAAUCUACCUUUCACAGAGGGAUAGCCCAGAGAAAUUUGGAUUAAUACCUCAUAGUAUUAUAGAAUGGCAUCAUUUUAUAAUUAAAGUCACAACGGUGAAAGAUGAGCA
This 200-nucleotide ribosomal RNA is filed under the name uncultured bacterium. Its description in RNAcentral is "partial 16S ribosomal RNA". It matches the Rfam family "Bacterial small subunit ribosomal RNA", at positions 28 to 231 of the family's 1533-position model. The record is from RNAcentral.